AGCGAACGCUGGCGGCAGGCCUAAUACAUGCAAGUCGAACGCACCUUCGGGUGAGCGGCGGACGGGUGAGUAACGCGUGGAACGUGCCCUUUGGUUCGGAACAACACAGGGAAACUUGUGCUAAUACCGAAUGUGCCCUUCGGGGGAAAGGAUUUAUCGCCAUUGGAGCGGCCCGCGUUGGAUUAGGUAGUUGGUGGGGUAAAGCCUACCAAGCCUACGAUCCAUAGCUGGUCUGAGAGGANGAUCAGCCACACUGGGACUGAGACACGGCCCAGACUCCUACGGGAGGCAGCAGUAGGGAAUCUUGCGCAAUGGGCGAAAGCCUGACGCAGCCAUGCCGCGU
Molecule: ribosomal RNA, 343 nt
Filed under: uncultured bacterium
Lineage: Bacteria
Description: bacterial SSU rRNA
Rfam family: Bacterial small subunit ribosomal RNA
Source: RNAcentral